GCGACUCAAAACCCGUGGNNNNNNNNNNNNNNNNNNNNNNNNNCUUAGACCUCAAUAUGGGGGUCCUAUGUCCUCCUUGUUGGGCAUUAGUAGGAUCUGGGCCUCAUUUCCCCUCCAUUUUGGGGCCAUUCCCCUCCAUUUUGGGGCCAUUUCCCCUCCAUUUUGAUGCCAUCUCCCCCCAUUUUGAUGCCAUCUCCCCCCACCCUUUCUAACUUGCCCAAUUUCCCCUCAUUUCACCCCAAUUUCUCUCCCCAGUUGGCGGCCAACGCCGCGGUUACGACAACCGUAUCUACGGGCAGCAGCAGUAUUGGGGCCAGCCUGGAAACCGCGGGGGUUACCGUAAUUUCUACGACCGUUACCGGGGAGAUUACGAGCGAUUCUAUGGCCGCGAUUAUGAAUACAACAGAUACCGGGAUUACUACAGGCAGUACAACCGGGAGGUCAGCAAUGCCCCAAAAUCCACUUUUUUUACCCCAAAAUCCCCUUUUUUUGCCCCAAAAUCCCCAUUUUUCACCCCAAAAUCCCUCCUCACCCUUCACCCUAUUGCCUACAUAGGGAUUUUCACCCCCAAAUCCCCUUAUUUUCACCCCCAAAUCCCUUUUUUUUACCCCAAAAUCUCUUUUUUCACCCCAAAAUCCCUUCUAUUCCGUCCUCCCCCUUCACCCUAUUGCCUACAUAGGGAUUUUCACCCCAAAAUCCCCUUUUUUUACCCCAAAAUCUCCCUUUUUCACCCCAAAAUUCCUUCUAUCUCAUCCUCCCCCUUCACCCUGUUGCCUACAUAGGGAUUUUUGCCCCAAAAUCCCCUUAUUUUUACCCCCAAAUCCCUUUUUUUACCCCCAAAUCCCCAUUUUUCACCCACAGAUCCCCCCUCACCCUUCAUCCUAUUGCCUAUAUGGGGAUUUUCACCCCAAAGUCCCCCGUUUUUACCCCAAAAUCCCCUUUUUUCACCCCAAAAUCCCUCCCCAUCCCAUCCUCCCCCUUCACCCUAUCACCUACAUGGGGAUUUUUGCCUCCAAAUCCCCUUAUUUUUGCCCCCAAAUCCCCUUUUUUCACCCCAAAAUCCCCGUUUUUCACCUCAAAAUCCUCCCCCAUCCCAUCCUCCCCCUUCACCCUAUUGCCUACAUAGGGAUUUUCACUCCCAAAUCCCCUUAUUUUCACCCCCAAAUCCCCUUAUUUUCACCCCAAAUCCCCUUUUUUCACCCCAAAAUCCCCCCCCAUCCCAUCCUCCCCCUUCACCCUAUCACCUAAAUGUCGAUUUUUGCCCAAUUUUUACCUUUUUUCCCUUAUUUUUCUAGUGGCAAAACUACUACCAGGACAGAGAUCGAUACUACAGGAACUACUACGGCUAUCAGGGCUAUCGGUGAAGUCCCAAAAUCGGCCGUUUUUGACCCAAAAUGGAACCCCGAAAUAAUCCUAAAAAUUAAGAGGAAAAAAAAAAAAAACCACAAAAAUGAAAAAACCCAAAAAAAACAAAAAAAAAGACAAAAAAAAAGAGAUAAAAAAGGGGGAUUUUGGGGUCGGGGG
RNAcentral lists this long non-coding RNA (1524 nucleotides) under Coturnix japonica (Japanese quail). RNAcentral's name for it is "lncRNA (ENSCJPG00005006403.1)". The record is from RNAcentral. Lineage: Eukaryota; Metazoa; Chordata; Aves; Galliformes; Phasianidae.